Aegilops tauschii subsp. strangulata is the source of this 1563-nucleotide RNA transcript. RefSeq lists it as uncharacterized. NCBI's taxonomy places the organism in Eukaryota, Viridiplantae, Streptophyta, Magnoliopsida, Poales, Poaceae. The record is from RefSeq and is a predicted model, not a curated record.
CUACGGGGUCCGAAACGCAAAAAGAAAUCCAAAAACCCCCAACCCUCCUCCCCUCUGCUUCCUCUGGUGACGGAUUGCGGCGCCGCCGACGAGCCACCGAGCGAGAUGGCGAGCUCGGCGCUGAGACGAUCUCUUACACGGCGCGGCUUGCUCCGGCGCCUCCUCCCUUCCCACCCACCACCCGCCGCCACCUCCUCGUUCCGUCGCUCCUUCCAGUCCGAAGAGGGUGCGGCGAGCGAGAGCACGGAGGACUUUGAAAAGCGGAUGUUUGGAAACCAGAGGGAGCCGGAUGACAACUCGUUCUUCGGGAAGCUCGAUGGGGUUGGGAGCUCCUUCGGAAGAAGACAUGGCACCGGCUCUGGGAUGGGUGCCUUCAGUCAGCAGGGCGAGAUGGGUAACUUGUUUGGUGGGAGGAGUAGUCAUGGGAUCAUGGACGGUUUCGACUCCUUGAACGAUGGCAUGAACGAGAAGUUGGACGACGCGGCCCGCACCUUUCACAUGACGGAUGAGGUUGAGGAUGAUGACUAUGAUUUCAGGCCAGAUGUGAAUUACAGGCGAGGCUCGACUUACAAUGUCCGGGAUCUUGACCUGACAAAACCUGCAGCCCCAAGGAAUCCUCCUAGACCUCAGUUUGAAACAUCUACAAAGGAAGUUUUAAGGAAAGCUGAUUUUAGGAAUGUUAGAUUCCUCGCCAACUUUAUUACAGAAGCUGGCAUUAUCAUCAAGAGGAAUCAGACCAAGAUAAGUGCGAAAGCUCAGCGCAAGGUGGCGAGGGAGAUUAAAACAGCGCGUGCACUGGGGCUGAUGCCUUUCACGACGAUGGGCAAGAGACCAUUCAUCUUUGGCAGAAGUGUGGAGGAGGAUGCUUCAGAAGAGGAAUAUGGGUAUGAUUUCGUCCAGAAGGAUGCUGGGCCUGAAGACACUGCUGGCGAUGCUGUGCCCGAUGUGGAGACUGCGUAAACAAUCUGGAGUUGAACUACGGUGACUUGUGGAUCUAUGUGGGGGGCCAAGACGUGGUUGACAUGGGGUCUGUAUCAAGAGACAACCUCGAAAUCUGGUACCCUGUGAACGUGGUUGACAUGGAGUCUGUAUCAAGAGCGAACCUCAUAAGUGUUCUCUGAUUGUGCCUGAUGUCAUCUUCAGUGUUUAUGAUUCCCACAUAAAACAAAUGACACGUGUGGAUUAUCAAGGUCCUCGGCCAAUUGCCCAGUUCCUUUUAAUCUGUGCCCCCAAGCUGGCAAGCUCUCUUGUUUCCCGCUUGCCUCGAGCUCUUCGACAUGCCUGAACCGUCACAUCGCAGUCGCAAACCUUCCGUUUGAGCUGAUCAAGGAAUAUAUUGUAUGUAUAGUGCUUUGAUCGCUUGUGUGCGUUGACUAUGGCCUCAAAUAUACAAAGUAAAACAGUACAAAAAACACACUUGAGAUAUGAGUUGUACAGGCCCUAGUGGAUCGAACUGACGAAUCCUAGUCACCUAAAGCGUUGCCCAGUUCUUGGAAACCACCAUGGCCUUUGUGAUCAAGUUGUGUCCCUGUGGAUAUAAUAGUCCCACAUCGCUUCUUUGCA